GUGUGCGUGUGUGUGUGUGAGCGGCUUUCCUAGGUUCCUUUAGAGCCAUUGUGCUUAACUGAAUUUUAUAACGCUGAUCGAUAUCUUGGUAAAAUAUUCAUUUUUAAACUAGCGGGCAGUGAAAUCUUUGCUUUGUGCUAAAGUCAACAGUGGCGCCAAUAAAGGCAGCGAGGCUUUUCCCGUGGAGUUGCAGACGGCGGGCGGCGGGCCGGGCAUCGCCGGUGCGCUCUGCGGCUCCUGGGCACCAGAAAUAUUCCUAAUCCUGCCGUUCAAGCGGGGAAUUCUCUCCCCACACGCAGAAUUAAUCUGGAAACUUCGUGGAACCAAGUGUGAUAAGAGGGACGGGGUGGGGGAAAGCCACCGCCGAUUUAACCCCCACCCCGCAGCAAUGCCUUGCCGCCCACUCAGUAAAUAUUAAACAGGGAGAAGCGUCGUUUGGUGAUUUAUCGUCCACCGAUAAGCGUGCCAAGUUCUUUGCAAAUAAUUCUUUACCGAUGUCAAGAAAAGUGGCCCCGAUGCUUCCCAUUUUGUCAAGUGUGUGUGGUGUUCGGGUGGAUGGCCUCCACUGUUUUCGUGUUUGGGGCGACUCAGUUCACCGAAGGUUGCUUUCAGCCGAAAAGAUCUGCUGCUACGAAGUGCAGGAACUUCUCUGGUGAGAUUGCCCGGCCUCCUCUCGAGAAAUUAAAGGGAAGCGGAAAUUUGACCAGCCCGAAAAAGUAAUCAGAUGCGGACGGAACUAAGAUCGACCACUUUAUUGCCCUCUGGCCAGUCUCUGGGCCCCAGAGAUGGAUGCGGCAAGCUGCGCUUCGCCUCCAGUGCAGCGGCGUCCCGGGAAAUUGACAUUCUUGUCGCUCGCCUUUGUCUGAUUUCAAAGCAAACAGAGGGAAUUCGGAUCCCGCCGGCGCUUCGGGACUCCGACACUUCCCGAUCGUGUCUAGGCUUUGUUUCGAACCGCGGGGCGUUAAUCCUGUAAACGCGGUUUAAUUAGCGGGAAGCUAAUUGCCACCCGCACUCGUUCAUCUUGUUAGCAAUUGGCCUGACAUUCCCGAACCGUUCUCUGUCCUACUCCCCAUUGAGAGAGGUAAAAAACUAGGCAUGGGCUUGUAUUUCGCUCAUAUUUGCACAUGUACCGUUGAACCAAGACUGAAACAUGUAAAACCAACUUAUUAGUCAGCAUCCUGUAGUGUCAGGCUAGGAUCUGGGAGACCCAGGUUCGAAUCCUCCUCUGCCAUGGAAGAUUGCCGGGCAGCUUUGCUAGUUACACAUUCUCAGCCGAACUUACUUCACAGGGCUGUUUGUGAGGAUAAAACGAAGGAAAGGAGAAAGAUGUAAACCUUUGAAAGCGGGGAAUAAAUGAAAUAAAUAAACUUGUG
Long non-coding RNA from Eublepharis macularius, 1373 nucleotides. RefSeq lists it as uncharacterized. NCBI's taxonomy places the organism in Eukaryota, Metazoa, Chordata, Lepidosauria, Squamata, Eublepharidae. The record is from RefSeq and is a predicted model, not a curated record. The transcript has 4 exons.